Non-coding RNA from Xyrichtys novacula (pearly razorfish), 603 nucleotides. The record is from the annotation of a GenBank genome assembly. Lineage: Eukaryota; Metazoa; Chordata; Actinopteri; Labriformes; Labridae.
CUAUGAACACAUAAAAAGGAAUGGAAAAAUACACCCCCUGUUUUAGGCAGACUGCUUUAUAUGCUCUUGUCUAUCGACCACAAAAUUUACCCCACUGUCCUUUUUUAUAAUGCUUUUUGGUAUUGAACAAAUAUUUCACAAUCAUUUUUACAUUUUUUUGGUUUAGAUCAUGAAUGUAUAUCAGAUAUCUAAAUCACUUACUUCAUAUAUUUAUGUCACUCAUUAUUUUAGUCUAUGACUGUAUUGUCACAUGUCACAAAGACUGUCAGGCAUACAGUGUAAUACUCUGUGAUAAUACAAAAAGGUAUCAGUUAUGUCAGAUAUCUAAAUAACUGACUUCAUAUAUUCAUGUCACUCAUUAUUUUAGUCUAUGACUGUAUUGUCACAUGUCUCAAAGACUGUCAGGCAUACAGUGUAAUACUCUGUGAUAAUACAGAAAGUUAUCAGCGCAAAAUACAGUGAUACAUUUCUGUAGACUAUAUUUGACACAUUGCAGAGGCUCUGAUUUCAAAAGUUUAUUUAUAGCUUAAAUUUUCAGAUUAACUGAUGUGGACUCCCUUUAAGAACAAUUAAUGCUAUUUAACAAGGACAUUCAUCUUAAAC